This 3336-nucleotide long non-coding RNA is filed under the name Salmo salar (Atlantic salmon). Its description in RNAcentral is "lncRNA (ENSSSAG00000088822.1)". The record is from RNAcentral. Lineage: Eukaryota; Metazoa; Chordata; Actinopteri; Salmoniformes; Salmonidae.
AGACAUAUUACCAUGGGUUAUAGUGGGCUGUGUGUUAGGUAUAGAGACAUAUUACCAUGGGUUAUAGUGGGCUGUGUGUAGGGUAUAGAGACAUAUUACCAUGGGUUAUAGUGGGCUGUGUGUUGGGUAUAGAGACAUAUUACCAUGGGUUAUAGUGGGCUGUGUGUUGGGUAUAGAGACAUAUUACCAUGGGUUAUAGUGGGCUGUGUGUCAGGUAUAGAGACAUAUUACCAUGGGUUAUAGUGGGCUUUGUGUAGUGUAUAGACACAUAUUAACAUGGGUUAUAGUGGGCUUUGAGUCAUGAAUAAAGACAUAUUAACAUGGGUUAUAGUGGGCUGUGUGUUAGGUAUAGAGACAUUUUACCAUGGGUUAUAGUGGCCUGUGUGUUAGGUAUAGAGACGUAUUACCAUGGGUUAUAGUGGGCUGUGUAUUAGGUAUAGAGACAUAUUACCAUGGGUUAUAGUGAGCUGUGUAUUGGGUAUAGAGACAUAUUACCAUGGGUUAUAGUGGGCUGUGUGUUGGGUAUAGAGACAUAUUACCAUGGGUUAUAGUGGGCUGUGUGUUAGGUAUAGAGACAUAUUACCAUGGGUUAUAGUGGGCUGUGUGUUAGGUAUAGAGACAUAUUACCAUGGGUUAUAGUGGGCUGUGUGUCAGGUAUAGAGACAUAUUACCAUUGGUUAUAGUGGGCUGUGUGUUGGGUAUAGAGACAUAUUACUAUGGGUUAUAGUGGGCUUUGUGUUGGGUAUAGUGACAUAUUACCAUGGGUUAUAGUGGGCUGUGUAUUGGGUAUAGAGACAUAUUACCAAUGGGUUAUAGUGGGCUGUGUGUUGGGUAUAGAGCCAUAUUACCAUGGGUUAUAGUGGGCUGUGUGUUAGGUAUAGGGACAUAUUACCAUGGGUAAUAGUGGGCUGUGUGUUAGGUAUAGAAACAUAUUACCAUGGGUUAUAGUGGGUUAUGUGUUAGGUAUAGAGACAUAUUUCCAUUGCUUAUAGUGAGCUGUGUGUUGGGUAUAGAGACAUAUUACCAUGGGUUAUAGUGGGCUGUGUGUUAGGUAUAGAGACAUAUUACCAUGGGUUUUAGUGGGCUGUGUGUUAGGUAUAGAGACAUAUUACCAUGGGUUAUAGUGGGCUGUGUGUUGGGUAUAGAGACAUAUUACCAUGGGUUAUAGUGGGCUGUGUGUUAGGUAUAGAGACAUAUUACCAUGGGUUAUAGUGGGCUGUGUGUCAGGUAUAGAGACAUAUUACCAUGGGUUAUAGUGGGCUGUGUGUCGGGUAUAGAGACGUAUUACCAUGGGUUAUAGUGGGCUGUGUGUCAGGUAUAGAGACAUAUUACCAUGCGUUAUAGUGGGAUGUGUGUCGGGUAUAGAGACAUAUUAACAUGGGUUAUAGUAGGCUUUGUGUCGGGUAUAGAGACAUAUUAACAUGGGUUAUAGUGGGCUGUGUGUUAGGUAUAGAGCCAUAUUACCAUGGGUUAUAGUGGGCUGUGUGUUCGGUAUAGAGACAUAUUACCAUGGGUUAUUGUGGGCUGUGUGUCAGGUAUAGAGACAUAUUACGAUGGGUUAUAGUGGGCUGUGUGUUGGCAAUAGAGACAUAUUACCAUGGGUUAUAGUGGGCUGUGUGUUAGGUAUAGAGACAUAUUACCAAGGGUUAUAGUGGGCUGUGUGUCGGGUAUAGAGACAUAUUACCAUGGGUUAUAGUGGGCUGUGUGUUGGGAAUAGAGACAUAUUACCAUGGGUUAUAGUGGGCUGUGUGUUAGAUUUAGAGACAUAUUACCAUGGGUUAUAGUGGGCUGUGUGUCGGGUAUAGAGACAUAUUACCAUGGGUUAUAGUGGGCUGUGUGUUAGGUAUAGAGACAUAUUACCAUGGGUUAUAGUGGACUGUGUGUUGGGUAAAGAGGCAUACUACUGUCACGUCCUGACCAGCAGAGGGUGUAUUGUGUUAGUCUUGGUCAGGAUGUGGCAGGUGGUUUGUGUUUGUUAAAUGUUGUGUGGGUGAUUGGGACUUCCAAUUGAAGGCAGGUGUGUUGAGUUGCCUUUGAUUGGAAGUCCUCUAUAGGUGUGUGUGUUUUUCUUUGGGGUUGUGGGUGGUUGUUUGUGUGCACUGCGGUGGUUUGAGCCUGCCACACUGUUACCAUUGUAAGUACUGUUUAUUGUUUUUUUGUUCAAGUGGAUGCUUUACAUGUUUCCUUUAAUAAACAUGAGUGUCCACAAUCCCGCUGCGCCUUGGUCCUCUUCUCUACAUGACAACUUCUGUGACAACUACUAUGGGUUAUAGUGGGCUGUGUGUUGGGUAUAGAGACAUAUUACCAUGGUUUAUAGUGGGCUGUGUGUUAGGUACAGAGACAUAUUACCAUGGGUUAUAGUGGGCUGUGUGUUAGGUAUAGAGACAUAUUACCAUGGGUUAUAGUGGGCUGUGUGUUAGGCAUAGAGACAUAUUACCAUGGGUUAUAGUGGGCUGUGUGUUAGGUAUAGAGACAUAUUACCAUGGGUUAUAGUGGGCUGUGUUUUGGAUAUAGAGACAUUUUACCUUCACAUUGAUCUGGUACUCCCUGUAUAUAACUCCACAUUGAUCUGGUACUUCCUGUAUAUAGCUCCACAUUGAUCUGGUACUUCCUGUAUUUUGCUCCAUAUUUUUUUAUUUAUUUCACCUUUAUUUAACCAGGUAGGCAAGUUGAGAACAAGUUCUCAUUUACAAUUCCGACCUGGCCAAGAUAAAGCAAAGCAGUUCGACAACAUACAAAAACACAGAGUUACACAUGGAGUAAAACAACAUACAAUCAAUGAUACAGUAGACAAAAAUAAGACUAUAUACAAUGUGAGCAAAUUAUGUGAGAUAAGGGAGGUAAAGGCAAAAAAGGCCAUGGUGGCAAAGUAAAUAAAGUAUACCAUGUAAAACACUGGAAUGGUAGAUUUAUAAUUUUAAGAAAGUUCAAAGUUAAAAUAUAAAUAAUAUGGUGCAAAGGAGCAAAAUAAUAAAUAAAAUAAAUAAAUACAGUAGGGGUAGUAGUUUGGGCGAAAUUAUAGAUGGGCUAUGUACAGGUGCAGUGAUCUGGGAGCUGCUCUGAUAGCUGGUGCUUAAAGCUAGUGAGGGAGAUAAGUGUUUCCAGUUUCAGAGAUUUUUGUAGUUCGUUCCAGUCAUUGGCAGCAGAGAACUGGAAGGAGAGACGACCAAAGGAGGAGUUGGCUUUAGGGGUGACCAGAGAGAUAUACCUGCUGGAGCGCGUGCUACAGGUGGGUGCUGCUAUGGUGACCAGUGAGCGGAGAUAAGGGGGGACUUUACCUAGCAGGGUCUUGUAGAUGACCUGGAGCCAAUGUGUUUGGCGACGAUUAUGAAGCGA